AUUAUUGCAUUCAUUUUAUUUUAUUUCAAUAAUGAGAUAUAUUAGCAAGUCUGUGCUAAACAAUGACAACACCAACUCUAUUCAUCAUCUUUCCAACCACUAUUUUUCUGUGAUACAUGUUUGACCAUUUGGUGUAACCACCUUUACUUCUGGCUGGACCUUCAAAUCAUUGGAAGAGAGUUCAAAUAAAGUCAAUAAAUUUACAAAAUUUAAAAGUUUUACUUUGGCUUUAAAAUAUCUUAAAACUUUCAACUGGCAUAAGCAACAAUAUUUACAAUUCUUAGAGUCAUCAGGAGAAAGCUUUAUUCUUAAAGUUUGAUGCAGGAGGAAAUGACUUCUGUAAUAACUGUGCCCCAAAUAAAAGACGGACUGAUUUUAAGCCAACAAAAAAAUAACAGCCCUACUUUAAGUCCAGCCCAACACAGUGUGGGGGGGUAACUCUAGUAGAGAAAUCAAUACCCAAUAAAUUAACCACUGAGAAGAAAAAAAAAAACAAUUUUAAAGCUUUACAACAAAUUUCAAAACAUGUAAAAGUACAGAAUCAAUAUCUCUGCCAACUAUGAAACGACUAAAUUAUCUGCCACAUCUUGUACAUUACUGACUGAAUUCAACACUGACUUCUUAAAGCUAACAUUGGGACUAGACAAAAAAAAAAAAUUAACAAAUAGGCUCCUCCCCUUUUUCCCAGUGAAUAUACAUCACAUCAGUAAAAAGCAAUUUUAAAAUGAAUAUUUUGUAUAGAACAAAGUAUCACAUAUCUCCUAACACAGAACGUAUGGCACUGGGAACACAGACACCCACAAGUUCCAAAGACUUAAAAAUUACAGGUCAAUUUAUCAUUCAUUCAGAAACAUAUAUAUAUAUAUAUAUAUG
Molecule: non-coding RNA, 873 nt
Organism: Biomphalaria pfeifferi
Lineage: Eukaryota; Metazoa; Mollusca; Gastropoda; Planorbidae
Source: the annotation of a GenBank genome assembly